AUUGAACGCUGGCGGCAUGCUUUACACAUGCAAGUCGAACGGUAACAGGCCGCAAGGUGCUGACGAGUGGCGAACGGGUGAGUAAUGCAUCGGAACGUGCCCAGUCGUGGGGGAUAACUACUCGAAAGAGUAGCUAAUACCGCAUACGAUCUAUGGAUGAAAGCGGGGGACCGUAAGGCCUCGCGCGAUUGGAGCGGCCGAUGUCAGAUUAGGUAGUUGGUGGGGUAAAGGCUCACCAAGCCAACGAUCUGUAGCUGGUCUGAGGGGACAACCAGCCACACUGGGACUGAGACACGGCCCAGACUCCUACGGGAGGCAGCAGUGGGGAAUUUUGGACAAUGGGCGCAAGCCUGAUCCAGCAAUGCCGCGUGCAGGAAGAAGGCCUUCGGGUUGUAAACUGCUUUUGUACGGAACGAAACGGCUCUGGUUAAUACCCGGGGCUAAUGACGGUACCGUAAGAAUAAGCACCGGCUAACUACGUG
This 482-nucleotide ribosomal RNA is filed under the name uncultured bacterium. RNAcentral describes it as "partial 16S ribosomal RNA". It matches the Rfam family "Bacterial small subunit ribosomal RNA", at positions 30 to 507 of the family's 1533-position model. The record is from RNAcentral.